Molecule: ribosomal RNA, 460 nt
Filed under: uncultured bacterium
Lineage: Bacteria
Description: bacterial SSU rRNA
Rfam family: Bacterial small subunit ribosomal RNA
Source: RNAcentral
AAUGAACGCUGGCGGCGCGCCUAAUACAUGCAAGUCGAGCGAGAAGACGUAGCAAUACGUUUGUAAAGCGGCGAACGGGUGAGGAAUACAUGGGUAACCUACCCUCGAGUGGGGAAUAACUAGCCGAAAGGUUAGCUAAUACCGCGUACGCUCCUUGGACUUCGGUUCAGGGAGGAAAGCGAUACCGUGGGUAUCGCGCUCUUGGUUGGGCUCAUGUCCUAUCAGCUUGUUGGUGAGGUAACGGCUCACCAAGGCUUCGACGGGUAGCUGGUCUGAGAGGACGAUCAGCCACACUGGCACUGCGACACGGGCCAGACUCCUACGGGAGGCAGCAGUAAGGAAUAUUGCGCAAUGGGCGAAAGCCUGACGCAGCGACGCCGCGUGGGGGAUGAAGGUCUUCGGAUUGUAAACCCCUUUCGGGAGGGAAGAUGGAACGAGCAAUCGUUCGGACGGUACCUCC